ACUCAAAGGAAUUGACGGGGACCCGCACAAGCGGUGGAGCAUGUGGUUUAAUUCGAGGCAACGCGAAGAACCUUACCAGGCCUUGACAUGUCCAGUUUGAUCGCCAGAGAUGGCUUUCUUCACUUCGGGUGGCUGGAACACAGGUGCUGCAUGGCUGUCGUCAGCUCGUGUCGUGAGAUGUUGGGUUAAGUCCCGCAACGAGCGCAACCCUCGCCCUUAGUUGCCAUCAUUAAGUUGGGAACUCUAAGGGAACUGCCCGUGAUAAGCGGGAGGAAGGUGGGGACGACGUCAAGUCAUCAUGGCCCUUACGGCCUGGGCUACACACGUGCUACAAUGGUAGUGACAAUGGGCAGCGAUACCGCAAGGUUCAGCUAAUCCCCAAAAACUAUCUCAGUUCGGAUUGUCCUCUGCAACUCGAGGGCAUGAAGUUGGAAUCGCUAGUAAUCGUAGAUCAGCAUGCUACGGUGAAUACGUUCCCGGGUCUUGCACACACCGCCCGU
Molecule: ribosomal RNA, 500 nt
Filed under: uncultured bacterium
Lineage: Bacteria
Description: partial 16S ribosomal RNA
Rfam family: Bacterial small subunit ribosomal RNA
Source: RNAcentral